Molecule: long non-coding RNA, 391 nt
Filed under: Homo sapiens (human)
Lineage: Eukaryota; Metazoa; Chordata; Mammalia; Primates; Hominidae
Description: HSALNT0242045
Source: RNAcentral
AACUCGGGGGUCAGGCAGCCCUGGUUUCAAUCCCAGCUUCCUAGCUGUGCGACCCAGGAAAAGAAAUGUCCAAGCUCUCCACCCCUGGAGAUGAGAAGGUAGAGAUGGGGAAGUUGGGCAGGGAGACCAAUUUGGAGUGCUGCGGUGGAGGCAAGGAGAGAGAAUACACCCAUUCUGGGAAAUGCUGAGUUGAAGACGUCCAGGUGGAACUGAGGAGAGAUGGACCUGGAGCCCAAGGGAGACAGGCUGAGCCCAGCAAGGGCAGGCGGAGGCCACGGGGGCACACGGCUGCUCCAGGAGAGAGUGGAUGGAGAAGUACAGUGGGGUGAGAGGGAGAUGAACAGAGGAAGAGGACAGGGGAAAUGGAAGAGGCAGAACAACACUUGAAGCC